GAGCAAAUGAUGUAAAUGUUUCUGACUGAAUCAAUGAUGCAUUCAAAGGAACCACUGAUGCUA
Astyanax mexicanus (Mexican tetra) is the source of this 63-nucleotide small nucleolar RNA. Its record names the gene SNORD42. It matches the Rfam family "Small nucleolar RNA SNORD42". Rfam says of the family: snoRNA U42 is found in intron 3 of the ribosomal protein L23a (RPL23a) gene in humans and is also present in mice. U42 is a member of the C/D class of snoRNA which contain C (UGAUGA) and D (CUGA) box motifs. The record is from Ensembl. NCBI's taxonomy places the organism in Eukaryota, Metazoa, Chordata, Actinopteri, Characiformes, Acestrorhamphidae.